UGAAUGGCGGCGGCGGCCAGAGCUUGCAGGGGCCGGAUCCAUGCGUGGAAGGUGUUGGGGAGGCGGAUCCAGAGGUGGGCGGCGAGGCGGGAGCUCACCGGAGCCGGGCGAUGGAGGGAUCCGGCGCGAUGGCGUGAAGUCCUUGCAGGCGGAGGCGGGUCUUCAUGGCUGGUAGGCAGAGCUCUGUAGGUAUUGCCCCUUGCCCCUCUUUUCAGCCUGUUCUCUCUCUCUCUCUCUCAUGGUGAGCGCCGACGACGGGGAACGGGUAGUGCCCAGGGUGGAGCUUGGCGAGUGUGGAUGGGGGCAACGCGUACGUCGAGCACCCGCACAGGCUUGUCGGAGAGUGUACAACAUGGCAGGAAGAUUGUGUGGGAGGACAAUCGGCAGGGAGGCAGGAGAAUGAGCACGGAGUGCUGCUGGCGGAUCUCUGCCCUGACCUGGGUUGAGCAGCUGCACCGGGACAGACACAUGCAGCCGUUCGAGCUCUGGUGAGGGGGUGGCGGGGCCAUGUCGUGUGCCAGGCAAGGUUGAGGACGCCUGGGCCGCUGGUGAUGGAGUGGCGAGGCCGAUCUGGCCCUCUCUCUUUUGUUUCUCUGCAACCAGCACAGAGAAGCAGAAAGUUGCUGCUCUUAUGUCAUAUGACCUAACCAAUCUCUCUCUCUCUCUCUCUCUCUCUCUCUCUCUCUCUCUCUCUCUCUUCUCUUGAACUAGCACUAAAGGAGCCGACGCUGUUGGUAGCACUGAGAACGGAGGGAACAUCAAGUCAUUCUCCUCCUAGAAAACCAGAUGUAUAACCAUUUGUUGUUGUUCGGAUGGUGUCCACAGCGGCCAACUACACCUGGUUUGUGUGCUCUUUUUGUUAAAAUAAAUCCAUUCUUCAGUCCAUGCUAUUGUACGAGACCAUUUUUUGCUAUUCGGAUGGUGUCCACGGCGGCCAACUACAGCUGGCUUGUGUGCUCUUUUUGUUAAAAUAAAAUCCAUUCUCCAGUCCAUGCUAUUGUACCAGUUUGAUGUGGUGGUUGAAAAAUUAUUGAUUUUGUUUGGUUCCUUGAGACUGAGAGGCAAUAAUUUUGUUUGAUUAAUUUGUUGAAGCUACGCACACAUAUAUGGCUAAGCCCUAUUUGUUGUUUGUUGUUAUGCAAGCAAAGGAUUUCGUCCGGUAAAACACCCAGCAACAGGAGUUUCUAUAAUGCUGAUUGAUUCAGAAACCCAAACAGUAUGGGUGUAGUUCUUACAAUUAGAAUUUUAGAAUUACUAAUAUCCUUUUGUUCCAGUAUAAUUAUUUUUGCUGAGAACUUCUUUAAGAUGCUCUGCAUUCUCUGUGUGUGUAAUGCACUUUGUUAUUGGCGAUGACUUGUGGAUGGAUUAUGCCGGUUGAAUAAACAACAUCUUUGCACAAACUAACAUUGGCAACAUCCAGAAAUUGAGAAAGCUUCUUCUCUGUUAACAAAAUUGUCUACUCAGGACUGCAAUUGGUGUAGGAUUUUUGGGUGGCUCUGUGAAGUAGCAGGUCUAGCUCACUUGGCCUUAUCCUUUUAAAGAUUGUCGCGUUUCUCGUUGUCCAAAUGCUCCAGCAGCCAAGGGUGAUCUACUCCAUGUAAAAAGGUUUCUGCAUAGAGCCCUUCAGAGCAAUAAUCUAUUUAUUGGCAGAAGACAAAUUGGUUUGAUCAAAGGCAGGGAAUAAAUAUUCAGAAGACAAAUUGCAGACGACAACCCAGGUAUUGUUCACGUAGGUAUUCAAAGUGUAAUUAGUUGCCUUGAUUCGAUUCUUUUGGAAAUAAUUAGUCACACUUUUGACCCAAAGCGACAACAACAUGGCGUUGUAGCUCAUCAACUCCACUAUGGCUUCCAUUAGCAAGUUCUGGUAGCAAGCCAACUACAUGCUAUUGUAAUUGGGGUGCAGAAGAUGGAGGGGAAUGGUCACCGAUGACAAAAGUGCAUUGAGUGGUUGGCAUCCUAUGUAAUGGGUGUCAGCGACUAAUCUACCAUAUCUUAAUAAUAGUGAGCUCGAGAGUGUGGCUCCUGGGAAGUCAGGCAGGUGUUACCGUUGCCCGGAGCUCAAAUCGGCAAGCCUCUCCGAUUCGGACCUCCUCAUCGCCUUCUGCGCCAUUGUUGACGCAUACACACAGGCGCUCGAGAAGACCUAGCGCCGCGACAAUGAUGACACAUCCCCUAGCUAUAGAUGGCGGCCGCAGCGUAGAUCCCUUGGCCGGGUUCGAGAGUCGUUGCCCGCCCGAUGGCCAGCGCAUGACAUUUGAGGACUGCUCCACCGUGUGCUGGCUGCUCAACAGGCUCCAUGUCACCUUCCAGGAGCGCGACGUGUCCACCCACGCGCCCUACUGGGACAAGCUCCGCGUGCUGCUGCCGGGACAAACGGUUCCAUGUCACUGUCACAGCGGCUGUUCGCGGAUGGUAGGUACAUUGUUGGUUUUUUAGACUUGCAGCACUCUGAAAUUACAGUAGUUAGGACUUGCUUUUCUACUUCAAUUCCCAAUGUGUUAUGAACUUAUGAUAGGUUGUAAUCUUUGAACUUAGCAAUCAAAAGUAUUAGUAGGUAGUACAUGUUGUUUUACAGUGUACAGCUUCUUCACGGACAUUAUUCAGUAGCUGUAUCUUCUUACCAAAUUCAGUGUAAGUCUUGCCUCUUGAUGUGUUAUAAUCUCUACAGUAGGUGUAUUGUGAUUUUCCUUUUAAUGCAUAGAAUAGAAAGUUUAGUGUAAGCGUGAUUAUAAGCUUUAUUAGUCACUUUUCCCAUGUUUGACAAUACAUAAUAUAGGCAGAAGUAGUUUCUCCCAUAUUUUUUAUGGACAGUGUACCUGGGAUGUACCUGUGAUUCUAAGCUUUAUUAGUCAUAACAGACUCUAUUUCAUAUGAUUUUAAUUUCUUUUUCUUUUUAGUGUUAGCCAAAGCAUGUUGAUCAGGUGGGGCAUUAGCAUUAUCGAGAAGUAGUGAUCUGCAGGACACAAUCAUGUGAAAUUCAGAAGAUUUGAUUGCUAGGGAUCCGGCCUGGAUUGAUCUGCCAUGCUUCGCUGCAGGUUUAUCAUACAUAUAUAUCUCCUUGUAAUUUCCUAUUUUCUAGCUUUGAUCUCCUCCUCUUCUUCUUCCAUCUUUCUUUUCUGUUUUUUUUUGUUACAUAGAAGAGGUAUGUUUCCUAUUGCUGUACUUUUUCCCAAAUCUUUGUGUAGAGGGGUUAGGUACAGGUGGUCUAGGAUAGGGUAGUUCCACCAUAUGCUAUUGGGCCUCGCUAGAGUGCAUUUAUUUAGGGCUGGUUGUAAACGAUCUAAAAGUUGUACUGAUAUCCUUGACAUAAGAUUUGAAUAAAACUGUUUCAUUUUCGGCCGA
Triticum dicoccoides is the source of this 3342-nucleotide long non-coding RNA. RefSeq lists it as uncharacterized. The record is from RefSeq and is a predicted model, not a curated record. NCBI's taxonomy places the organism in Eukaryota, Viridiplantae, Streptophyta, Magnoliopsida, Poales, Poaceae. The transcript is spliced from 2 exons.